Molecule: unclassified non-coding RNA, 174 nt
Filed under: uncultured fungus
Lineage: Eukaryota; Fungi
Description: partial contains 18S rRNA, ITS1, 5.8S rRNA
Source: RNAcentral
CCUCCGGGCGCCCAACCUCCCACCCGUAAAUACCUAACACUGUUGCUUCGGCGGGGAACCCCCUCGGGGGCGAGCCGCCGGGGACUACUGAACUUCAUGCCUGAGAGUGAUGCAGUCUGAGUCUGAAUAUAAAAUCAGUCAAAACUUUCAACAAUGGAUCUCUUGGUUCCGGCA